Molecule: long non-coding RNA, 451 nt
Filed under: Calidris pugnax (ruff)
Lineage: Eukaryota; Metazoa; Chordata; Aves; Charadriiformes; Scolopacidae
Description: lncRNA (ENSCPUG00000007949.1)
Source: RNAcentral
AUGGUCACUUAGAUGAAGCAAGCUGCCUACCCCUUUGAACACUUUAGUGAGGUAAACAGCUGAUGCAGAAAGGUGUUGCUGCGUAUCCCGCAGAAGACCGGCUUGGAGAUCUUAGAAAAAGAUGGUUUUUUGCCAGUCUGCAAUAGUUACGAGCUGGAAGUACCAAGAUCCAAAAUAAUGGAGUUAGGAGUUACUCAGUGGCUGUCUGAAAUAUUUAUAAAACGAAGAAAGUUUUCAUGGAGCAGGGAAGCAUUUUCCAUCUAAAACAGUCAUGGGCUGGAUUUUGAAUUCUGCCACAGAAGACAAAAUGCCAGACCAAAAAGUGAGAGGAAGGAACGUAUCCUGGUGAGUUGUGGUUUUUCGUUUUUUUUUUUUUUUUUUUUUCCUUUUAAAUGAUAUUGUUAAUUAGGAAUUGAGAAUUUACAGACCAAACCUCAGAAGAUCGAAUGUA